Molecule: long non-coding RNA, 901 nt
Organism: Gopherus flavomarginatus (Mexican gopher tortoise)
Lineage: Eukaryota; Metazoa; Chordata; Testudines; Testudinidae
Exons: 3
Source: RefSeq, a predicted model, not a curated record
GGUGUUUCCAUCCCCCUCAGCAGAGAGUCUCCAACCACCACUACCCUACGUUUCUUAUUAUCAGUGGUGGCAGCAGACCUCCCAGCCUUAGGGGUACGAGGCUUCCCCUCCUUAACUGUUGGGGGUGAUUCCUUCUCUCCUGUAUCAAGAAGAGCAUAACGGUUAUCUAUUACCACAGCAGGAGGGUUCGCAGCAGGGGUGGAGCACUAAGACUAAGGGGUGGACUAAGAAUAACAAUAAGAGGAAAGGCCGAAUAUGGAAAACUGAUUGUUCAGCUUGCUUUUGACCUGCAUCAUAUUUUGCAAUAUAUUCCAAAUAAGCAAGGUUUCCUGUUACCCAGCCUGAUGUGAUCUCCCAGCUGGAACAAGGGGAAGAGCCAUGGGUCCCAGAUCUCCAAGGCUGUGAGGAAAGAGAGAUCCUGAGAGCUCUCUGCACAGCAGGUGAUGCAAUGGCAUGUGAGAAAAAGGAGCAGAAUUCUCAGCAGGAAAAUGUUGAGCAAGUGGAUAAACACAGAGCAUUAUCGCAAAGAUUGAAAAGGAAUGUGUCCAGGAGUCAUGAGCAGGGAAAUUCCUUUGAGAUUCAGCACAGACCAGAAAGAGAGCAAGGAAACCAGCCAGGGGAGAAAUUGGAUGAAUGUAUUUCCUCUUGGGGAACUCAGAAGGUCCUCAUGGAAAUCACAACACAAAAGGAAAUCCUUAGGCGAACGAGAAAAAAUACAUGCACUGAGUGUGAGAAAAACUUCAUUCACAGAUCAAGCCUUUCUGUUCAUCUGAGAAUCCACACAGGGGAGAGGCCCUACGAAUGGCAUGAGUGUGUGGCAAAACCUUCAAUCGCAGCUCAAACCUUUCUAAACAUCGGAGAAUCCACGCAGGGGACAGGCCCUACAAAUGCAGUAAUUGUG